AAUCUUAAAAAAUUAAAUUGCAAAUUUAAUAAAGAAUUAAAAUUCUAAGAUUU
RNAcentral lists this transfer RNA (53 nucleotides) under Haemaphysalis montgomeryi. Its description in RNAcentral is "tRNA-Cys". The record is from RNAcentral. Lineage: Eukaryota; Metazoa; Arthropoda; Arachnida; Ixodida; Ixodidae.